CCUACGGGUGGCUGCAGUGGGGAAUAUUGGACAAUGGGCGAAAGCCUGAUCCAGCCAUGCCGCGUGUGUGAAGAAGGCCUUCGGGUUGUAAAGCACUUUCAGUGGGGAAGAAAGCCUUGGGGCUAAUACCCUCGAGGAAGGACAUCACCCACAGAAGAAGCACCGGCUAACUCCGUGCCAGCAGCCGCGGUAAUACGGAGGGUGCGAGCGUUAAUCGGAAUUACUGGGCGUAAAGCGCGCGUAGGCGGUCUGAUAAGCCGGUUGUGAAAGCCCCGGGCUCAACCUGGGAACGGCAUCCGGAACUGUCAGGCUAGAGUGCGGGAGAGGAAGGUAGAAUUCCCGGUGUAGCGGUGAAAUGCGUAGAGAUCGGGAGGAAUACCAGUGGCGAAGGCGGCCUUCUGGACUGACACUGACGCUGAGGUGCGAAAGCGUGGGUAGCAAACAGGAUUAGAUACCCUGGUAGUC
This 465-nucleotide ribosomal RNA is filed under the name Vreelandella stevensii. Its description in RNAcentral is "partial 16S ribosomal RNA". It matches the Rfam family "Bacterial small subunit ribosomal RNA", at positions 338 to 795 of the family's 1533-position model. The record is from RNAcentral. Lineage: Bacteria; Pseudomonadati; Pseudomonadota; Gammaproteobacteria; Oceanospirillales; Halomonadaceae.